Molecule: ribosomal RNA, 375 nt
Filed under: uncultured Pseudomonas sp.
Lineage: Bacteria; Pseudomonadati; Pseudomonadota; Gammaproteobacteria; Pseudomonadales; Pseudomonadaceae
Description: bacterial SSU rRNA
Rfam family: Bacterial small subunit ribosomal RNA
Source: RNAcentral
UUGGUGGCCUUCGGGAACGUCUGACACAGGUGCUGCAUGGCUGCCGUCAGCUCGUGUCGUGAGAUGUUGGGUUAAGUCCGUAACGAGCGCAACCCUUGUCCUUAGUUACCAGCACGUUAUGGUGGGCGACUCUAAGGAGGGCUGCCGGUGACAAACCGGAGGAAGGUGGGGAUGACGUCAAGUCAUCAUGGCCCUUACGGCCUGGGCUACACACGUGCUACAAUGGUCGGUACAAAGGGUUGCCAAGCCGCGAGGUGGAGCUAAUCCCAUAAAACCGAUCGUAGUCCGGAUCGCAGUCUGCAACUCGACUGCGUGAAGUCGGAAUCGCUAGUAAUCGUGAAUCAGAAUGUCACGGUGAAUACGUUCCCGGGCCUU